RNAcentral lists this ribosomal RNA (491 nucleotides) under uncultured bacterium. RNAcentral describes it as "bacterial SSU rRNA". It matches the Rfam family "Bacterial small subunit ribosomal RNA", at positions 34 to 518 of the family's 1533-position model. The record is from RNAcentral.
CGCUAGCGACAGGCUUAACACAUGCAAGUCGAGGGGUAACAGGGUAGCAAUACCGCUGACGACCGGCGCACGGGUGAGUAACGCGUAUGCAACCUGCCUAUAACUGUGGAAUAGCUCCCUGAAAGGGGAAUUAACACCGCAUAACACUAUUGAUUCGCAUGGAUUGGUAGUUAAAUGUAGCGAUACAGGUUAUAGAUGGGCAUGCGUGACAUUAGCUAGUUGGUGAGGUAACGGCUCACCAAGGCUACGAUGUCUAGGGGUUCUGAGAGGAAGGUCCCCCACACUGGUACUGAGACACGGACCAGACUCCUACGGGAGGCAGCAGUGAGGAAUAUUGGUCAAUGGGCGCAAGCCUGAACCAGCCAUGUCGCGUGCAGGAAGACUGCCCUAUGGGUUGUAAACUGCUUUUAUAGUAGAAGAAACACAUCUACGUGUAGAUGUCUGCCAGUAUACUAUGAAUAAGCAUCGGCUAACUCCGUGCCAGCCGCAGC